This is a long non-coding RNA of Rhipicephalus microplus (southern cattle tick), 316 nucleotides long. NCBI's taxonomy places the organism in Eukaryota, Metazoa, Arthropoda, Arachnida, Ixodida, Ixodidae. The record is from RefSeq and is a predicted model, not a curated record.
UAUUGUGUUGUUCCAGCGCCUGCCAUGGCGGAAGGGUGGAUAAUCGCUCCGUGGUGACAAAUUCAUUUCCUUCGUACCCUUGGGCUUGCCUGCUGAUCGUUGGAUUGAAGAUUAGACCCGCUAUGCAUCGUACGUAAUUAGGAUUUCUUGAGGCUGGACCCGGCCGCUGGGCACGGCAAUUCUUCCGAUGCGUGCCAAGUGACGAAUUCAACGCAUCUUUUCGCUGCGGCUGCCAUGGAGGACCAACUUCUCUCUCCUGGUAGUCAGAGCACCCAGUGGAAUCACUCUUCGGGCCUUGUCAAGGGCCAACCAAAGG